This 839-nucleotide long non-coding RNA is filed under the name Numida meleagris (helmeted guineafowl). RNAcentral describes it as "lncRNA (ENSNMEG00000017314.1)". The record is from RNAcentral. Lineage: Eukaryota; Metazoa; Chordata; Aves; Galliformes; Numididae.
CAGAUGCACAGCCAGGCCUGAGGAAAGGAGCACUUUAUGCUCGGUGCUUAGAGGGACAAUGUGGAGCUGGUGCAACCCAGGUUUAUGGGAACCUGUGCCACAGUACUGAGGGUGACCCCAAAGGGGACAAAGUCCACUGCUCCUGUGAGAGCUUGCCAUUGAUUUGGGAUGUGACUUUCAGCAGGCACCAAGAACCAGUGCGUCUCUUUAUGCUGAUCUCCUCUGUUCACAUGCUUAUCCUUGGACUGAUGGAGGAAAUCAAAGGAGCUGUGUCUUCCUCCAAAAUCUCCAGCAUUCAGAAAAAGAAUGUAGUCCAUACUCACAUUGAGAGAAUUGUAUCAACAUCCUGAUUAAAGGCAUGUGCAAGAGACAUGGUCAUGGAUGUGGAUGAAGCUGAAGAAAAGCUUGUUUCGUGAUGACUACUUCACUACACCUGUUUUGCUAGGCUUCGCAGUACUCAGUUUUGACACCAUCUCUGCCUAGUGGACCUCAGCUGCUGAGAGCCACGGUAGAGCUGCCUUCACUCCAGGCAUGCCAGAACCAAGAGGUGGGAGAGUAAGGGUGAACCUGCAGCACAUCACAGCCCUAACAUUCUUUGGAAUAUCAUAAAGAUUCAGUUAUAAAUUAUGUUUUGAGAUCCCAUUCUUCUUGAUUUUGAGUCAAAGUAAGGAGUUGCCUAGCAGAAGGAAACUGCCUUCUCGUGAAACCCUGAUUGCCACUAUUCAACUCAGAUGUAUGUACUCCAGGCCUAAAUCAAAGCUAUUUUUUUCUUACAGUCAGACUUCUCUACAUUUCAGUGCAUUUUCAAACUCUGAUUAUAGAUGAAAUGUUAGUAUUUG